RNAcentral lists this ribosomal RNA (589 nucleotides) under uncultured bacterium. RNAcentral describes it as "bacterial SSU rRNA". It matches the Rfam family "Bacterial small subunit ribosomal RNA", at positions 338 to 944 of the family's 1533-position model. The record is from RNAcentral.
CCUACGGGAGGCAGCAGUGGGGAAUCUUGCGCAAUGGGCGAAAGCCUGACGCAGCAACGCCGCGUGCGGGAUGAAGGCCUUCGGGCUGUAAACCGCUUUCAGCAGGAACGAAAAUGACGGUACCUGCAGAAGAAGGAGCGGCCAACUACGUGCCAGCAGCCGCGGUGACACGUAGGCUCCAAGCGUUGUCCGGAUUUAUUGGGCGUAAAGAGCUCGUAGGCGGUCUAAUAAGUCGGGUGUGAAAACUCUGGGCUCAACCCGGAGACGCCAUCCGAUACUGUUAUGACUUGAGUUCAGGAGGGGAGCGGGGAAUUCCUAGUGUAGCGGUGAAAUGCGCAGAUAUUAGGAGGAACACCGGUGGCGAAGGCGCCGCUCUGGACUGAAACUGACGCUGAGGAGCGAAAGCAUGGGUAGCAAACAGGAUUAGAUACCCUGGUAGUCCAUGCCGUAAACGGUGGGCACUAGGUGUGGGUUUCAACUACGAAAUCCGCGCCGUCGCUAACGCAUAAGUGCCCGCCUGGGGAGUACGGUCGCAAGCUAAAACUCAAAGGAAUUGACGGCUGAGACGUGCGAGCGACGACGAGGAGAG